Molecule: long non-coding RNA, 1175 nt
Organism: Lynx canadensis (Canada lynx)
Lineage: Eukaryota; Metazoa; Chordata; Mammalia; Carnivora; Felidae
Exons: 4
Source: RefSeq, a predicted model, not a curated record
CAAAUGGAAAGCCAGGUGUGUGUACGAAUUCCAGCAAGGCAAGGAAAACAGAAAGAGAGCAACUGAGAUGUUGAGAUUAAAAAUAGGAUAAACAGGAACUGAAAAGUCUGGGUUUCUAUUUCUUUUCUGGUUCACUUUGUUUUCACGUUUCCCCCAGUGAACUGUUGUAGUUACAGUUUCUCCCAAUUAGGCAAUCAUUUGUAGUCGGGGACAAGAAAAUCAAACUUCUCGGACCCCCUCCGUGGAGAAUUCCCCACCCCUCAUUCCCUGAACGUGUUAAUUGCCAGCACAUAGGAGAACGAUCGUCUAGAAGGAAAACAAACCAAACCAAAAAAUCAAAUUCGGGCUUUGCCCAGAAAUGCUCACACGGUUCCCUUCAUGGUCCUCUGUGCCUUCAAACUGAAAGUGUCACAAAUGGACAGUGACUCUUCUCAACUUCCGGUGAUCAGAAACGCUUGGUAAUUGUUCUCACUAAAAGCCAGAAUCUCGCAAUAUAUGGCUUUGCCGCACACGGGCCAGAUUAAAAGCAGGAGGUGGCUUUCUUCUCCACAACACACCUAGUGCCAAAACACAAAAGCAGGGCAAAGGCCAUGCACACCAUCGCACAUCAUUCCCUGGGCCUACAACCUGGAUCGAGAGAGUCAAGAGAGGCGAUGCGAGGCCACGAUGGAGUAGUAGGGGCUCCAGUACCAGGCCACCUCGGUUCCGACCUCUGUCCCGUCACUUGCUAGCUCUGCGAGCUUUGGAAAGUGACCUAACUGCUGGGGGCCUCGUCGUUCCCAUCUGUAAAGCAGGGGUCUGUUCCAAGUGACGCUGAAGGCCGGAGGGAGAGUCCCAAGCCCGCUUGGAGGGUCCCAGGAGGAGGUCGGAGUGGAGCAGCAGAGGCCACAAGGACAACCCGUGAGCCCUGCAGGAGAGCAGAUGUCUUAGGCAAAGUCAAGGGUACAUGCAAAGGCUCAAAGGCCGGGACGAUGGUAGACUUGGGAAAGACCAAGGGUGGGCGCAGAGGGGUGGAGGAAAUGGCCCUCCCACACACAGAAUGUAUCUCACACCUCUGCCAAGAUAUCCUGUCUCGUGAGGCUUUCCUUGAUCACGCUAUUCAAACACUCCCCUUCACCAGGAGCGCCUGGAUGGCUCAGUUGAUUCAGCAUCCAACUCUUGGUUUCGGCUCAGGU